Hemibagrus wyckioides is the source of this 423-nucleotide non-coding RNA. Lineage: Eukaryota; Metazoa; Chordata; Actinopteri; Siluriformes; Bagridae. The record is from the annotation of a RefSeq genome assembly.
AUGAUCACUGUUAUAUUCAUGUGUCUGUGGCUUUCAUUAGGUGACUCCAUGGAAGAUCCAAUAGAGCCACGUUUCCCUCAUAAAGUUGUAGAUGAAGGUGAUGAUGUUACUCUGUCCUGCAGCUACAAAAACAGUGCUACAGUAAAAAGCCUACAAUGGUACAAACAACAUCCAAAAUCUAAACCUGAGUUCCUUUUUUACAUCUUACCGAGUGGAGAUAAAACUGACCCUAUGCCACCACGUCUGUCUGCUGAAGUCGAUGAUAAAACUAAACAAGUGUAUCUGAUCAUCUCCUCUGCUGCUGUAUCAAACUCUGCUCUAUACUACUGUGACUACAACCUCCCCGUAGACAGUGGUCUUAAAGCAACAGCUCUUACUUUACCCCACUCCCGCAACACUACCCCCACUCUGGAUGGUGAUUAA